Mugil cephalus (flathead mullet) is the source of this 708-nucleotide long non-coding RNA. RefSeq lists it as uncharacterized. Lineage: Eukaryota; Metazoa; Chordata; Actinopteri; Mugiliformes; Mugilidae. The record is from RefSeq and is a predicted model, not a curated record. The transcript is spliced from 3 exons.
GAUGAAAAGUAAAGAAAUGGACCCUGUAGGAUUAUGUGCUUUUAUACAUUGAGGUUUGACCACUUCAUAAAUCUAAGGGUUCACUUCUUUUUUUCCACCAGCACUAAGAAUGCUUAGAAUGAAAUAGUUCACAGCAACAUGAAUUGAAAUGAGCUCUUCUUGCUCCUGAAUCAGUUUUAAAAACUAAAAAGAGAUGGUAUGCCACUAUAUUUCAGAUGAAUCCAUGGAUGUCACAUAUUCUUUGAUUGAGCUUAAAAACAUCACUAAGGAGGGACAAUCAGCUCCUGCAGCAGAUGAAGAAACAUUUUAUUCUGAAAUCAAACCAGGAACAUCUCAUGGUCAAUAGAGAUCUGUAUCAACAAAACCCUCUGAAUAGAUCAUAAAAGUGAAGCUACUCACAUGAAUAGCAGAUAUUUAAAGACAUAAACCAGCUGAAUGUGCUGCUUUUAGUGCAGAUGUAUUUUAUAAAAAGCUUUAGUUUGUAUGAAUGUAAUGAUUGUGUGGCUUUAAUAUCAGCAUCUUUUUCAGUUCUUCAUGUUCUGUCAUCAAACAUCAUUCUGUUACAUGUCCACUUAAAGAAGCUAACUAUGUUGAGAAGAACUGAUAGUAUAACAAGUAUUUCAUGUUUCCCUGAACUGAUUAAGUAUAUUGUAAAAAGCUUGGACUUUUCUAACUAUGUUAUGCAUCAAUAAACUUUUUAAUUUUUAA